RNAcentral lists this microRNA precursor (65 nucleotides) under Mus caroli (Ryukyu mouse). Its description in RNAcentral is "microRNA 6916 (MGP_CAROLIEiJ_G0007075.1)". Lineage: Eukaryota; Metazoa; Chordata; Mammalia; Rodentia; Muridae. The record is from RNAcentral.
GCAGGCAGGAGGACGGAGAUGAGUCAUGGGGUUUUCUUAGAUGUUUGGUCUCCCUCUUCCUACAG